RNAcentral lists this ribosomal RNA (468 nucleotides) under uncultured bacterium. RNAcentral's name for it is "partial 16S ribosomal RNA". It matches the Rfam family "Bacterial small subunit ribosomal RNA", at positions 28 to 507 of the family's 1533-position model. The record is from RNAcentral.
GACGAACGCUGGCGGCGUGCUUAACACAUGCAGGUCGAACGGAAAGGCCCUGCUUUUGUGGGGUGCUCGAGUGGCGAACGGGUGAGUAACACGUGAGUAACCUGCCCUUGACUUUGGGAUAACUUCAGGAAACUGGGGCUAAUACCGGAUAGGAGCUCCUGCUGCAUGGUGGGGGUUGGAAAGUUUCGGCGGUUGGGGAUGGACUCGCGGCUUAUCAGCUUGUUGGUGGGGUAGUGGCUUACCAAGGCUUUGACGGGUAGCCGGCCUGAGAGGGUGACCGGCCACAUUGGGACUGAGAUACGGCCCAGACUCCUACGGGAGGCAGCAGUGAGGACUAUUGCACAAUGGGCGGAAGCCUGAUGCAGCCACGCCGCGUGCGGGAUGACGGCCUUCGGGUUGUAGACCGCUUUCGCCUGUGACGAAGCGUGAGUGACGGUAAUGGGUAAAGAAGCACCGGCUAACUACGUG